AUGUGCAGUUUUUAUACGCCCGUAUAAAAUACGGGACGUAUUAUGUGAAACCCCUUGGCGGGCGGGCGGCGGGCGGAAGGCAUCACUUUGUCCGGACUCUAAUUCAAAUUGUAUUCAUCCGAUCUUCACCAAACUUGGUCAGCAGUUGCAUCUAGUUGAUAUCUAGGCCAAGUUCGAAUAUGGGUCAUGCCGGGUCAAAAACUAGGUCAUAGGGUCAAUUAGUGCAUUUUCAACGGCGCCACUUUGUCCGGACUCUAAUUCAAAUUGUAUUCAUCCGAAUCUUUUAAACAACUUUUUAUCCUGCGUCAAAGUGGUAUGGGGGUAUAAGUCACAUUCAGUGACAAAGCUCUAGUUCAAGUUGAAUUCACCAAACUUGGUCAGAGGUAGUAUAUAGAUUAUAUAUCAGUCAGGUCUGAUUGGAGACAUGCAACCGAUUAACACAUGCAAUAUUUUUAUGCAAUAUUUUUAUCCAGUUUUAUUUUGCGAUAUUUUCAUCGGGUUUAUUUUUUUCGCGAUUUUUGAAACGAGUUAUUUUUAACAACAUGUUUAUUGGUAAGUUUCAUU
This is a long non-coding RNA of Dreissena polymorpha, 564 nucleotides long. RefSeq lists it as uncharacterized. The record is from RefSeq and is a predicted model, not a curated record. NCBI's taxonomy places the organism in Eukaryota, Metazoa, Mollusca, Bivalvia, Myida, Dreissenidae. The transcript has 2 exons.